RNAcentral lists this long non-coding RNA (315 nucleotides) under Olea europaea (common olive). RNAcentral's name for it is "long non-coding RNA (OEUR_LNC007254)". The record is from RNAcentral. Lineage: Eukaryota; Viridiplantae; Streptophyta; Magnoliopsida; Lamiales; Oleaceae.
GAACCCUCCUUCGACGUAAGUGGAGAGGACGAAAAACACAUCAAGGAUGCCGAAGAUGGAGGUGACGCCAUCCAGUGAUUCUCCUAUCAUGAUGUCGCCUUUAAUCAAAAUGUCGUGGCAAUAAUUACCCACAAUUUGGCAUGCCAGGCCUAUGUUUUCUAUCAUUUGUCAAAGGGACGCAGCUGUAUCAUUUUCCUCUUUUGGUGUGCGGUCUAGGAAGGUUAAAGAUGGGAAGAAAGACAAGAUGGAGGUUUUGGUAACACUUGUAUUUGUGUAUGCUGAGCGUGAUAGGAAUUGAAACUUGCGCUAGCACAG